GAGGAUUACACUGUCUCCCCCCCUAAAUCAAUGAAACUGAUCCCCCCGUGAAGAAGCGGGGAUAAAUAUAUAAGACGAGAAGACCCUAUGGAGCUUUAAACUAAACACCACUUACCUUUAACCACUCCCUUACAAACAGGUAAAGAUCGUGUGUGUUUUCAGUUGGGGUGACUGCGGAGCAAAAUAAAACCUCCACGAUGAAACAAUCCUCUAAUCUAAGAACAACAUUUCAAAGAAUCAACAAAUUGACAUAAAUUGACCCAAAUAUUAAUUUGAUCAACGAACCAAGUUACCCUAGGGAUAACAGCGCAAUCCAUUUCAAGAGCUCAUAUCGACAAAUG
RNAcentral lists this ribosomal RNA (341 nucleotides) under Chiasmocleis lacrimae. RNAcentral describes it as "partial 16S ribosomal RNA". It matches the Rfam family "Bacterial large subunit ribosomal RNA", at positions 2006 to 2514 of the family's 2925-position model. Lineage: Eukaryota; Metazoa; Chordata; Amphibia; Anura; Microhylidae. The record is from RNAcentral.